This 305-nucleotide ribosomal RNA is filed under the name uncultured bacterium. RNAcentral's name for it is "bacterial SSU rRNA". It matches the Rfam family "Bacterial small subunit ribosomal RNA", at positions 334 to 631 of the family's 1533-position model. The record is from RNAcentral.
UCUCCCUACGGGGCGCAGCAGUAGGGAAUUUUCGUCAAUGGGCGCAAGCCUGAACGAGCAAUGCCGCGUGAACGAGGAAGGUCUUCGGAUCGUAAAGUUCUGUUGAAGGGGAAAAAGAGCGGAGAGAGGAAAUGGUCUCCGAUUGAUAUUACCCUUCGAGGAAGUCACGGCUAACUACGUGCCAGCAGCCGCGGUAAUACGUAGGUGGCAAGCGUUAUCCGGAUUUACUGGGUGUAAAGGGAGCGUAGACGGUGAUGCAAGUCAGAAGUGAAAGCCCGCGGCUCAACUGCGGGACUGCUUUUGAA